AUGUUCCAGUUCUCGUUCGAUCACCGAAGUUAAGCAUCAUAGAUCUAGGUCAGUACUUAGAUGGGGGACCGCUUUUGAACACCUGGAACUGUAAG
This is a non-coding RNA of Acanthosepion pharaonis, 95 nucleotides long. The record is from the annotation of a GenBank genome assembly. NCBI's taxonomy places the organism in Eukaryota, Metazoa, Mollusca, Cephalopoda, Sepiida, Sepiidae.